GUAAGUGGGUAUACAUGUAGAAA
Molecule: non-coding RNA, 23 nt
Filed under: Cricetulus griseus (Chinese hamster)
Lineage: Eukaryota; Metazoa; Chordata; Mammalia; Rodentia; Cricetidae
Source: RNAcentral